AUAAAUAAAAUGCUAUGAUCAUAUAUGAUUAUUUGGAUACUUAUAAAACAUACACAUAAAGGAGAACUGAUUAAGGUGGGUUACCCAAUAACACGUGUCACAACUUCAUAACAUAGAGCUAUCUUAAUCAAAGUGUUUUGCAGCGGAAAACGUGUGAGAUAUACAUAUGAAGAUGUAUACUCAAGGUUACAUUUCUUGAAAUGUCAAAGGAACACCCGCUCAACGCCAUUCCAUUCCAUCAGCUGCUCAACCUGCACAUUUAGAAAUACAUGCAGGGCUGAGUAUAAAAAUACGCAGUGGGCAUAGCCGAAAAUACACCAUGCAUACAUAUAUAAAUUGAACUGCCAUAACAGUAACACACAGGGGUUUUCUUGAAUGGCCUGCGCUUACUUAAAACAUUUCGUUCAUUUUCAUAAAGUCAAUCGGCCGAUCAUUUUCCUUCAUAUGAUCCAUAUCUGUUCCUUUCUGUCACGCGCCGGGAAGGAGGCCUCCUUACCACGGACGCCAAGACCGGUCGCAAGCGACUCGCGGUCUCCAUAAGUGUACACGUUAACCCUAGCUAGCGACCUUUGUCUAGCAUAGGAUCCCAAUUGGAUUUCCUUUAAAGUUGGCGAACCAACACAGAUAGGAUACAUAUAAAAACAUAAACAUUUUUUGCAGUCAAUCAUUUCAUAAACUUUUCAUUUCAUAAACAUUUUCAUUUUCAUUUCAUAAGAGUCAUUUAUCAUUUGGGCAUAAUAAUAAACUGAAAUUAACAGUUAAAAUCAUCUCAUGCAUAUAUUCGUAUAAGAGGCCUACGACACGCAGGGGAUCUCUAUAUACGUAUAGUAAAAGUAAUGCCCACCUCAAACGUUCUUAAGCUAGCGUGGAGUCGCUUCUUCUUCGGCUUCAUUUCCUGUCGCCCGGACCCUUAUUGAUGAAGAGUCGGUAAGUUCGUGAAGAAAAUUGUCACAAGACAAAGUCUAAUUCUACGUGUCUAGGGUAUCUUUUAGUAUUUUAGGGUUCUAGCAUCCAUAAGUCGUUUCGAUUAAAACAAUCAAAAACCAACAUAACAUCGACUAACCACAUAACAAACGAAAUAAUAGAAUUCAAUAUCCUUAAACUUAAUAUCAUUUAGAAAGCUAAGAGUUUAAUAUAAAACAUUCUCAACCCAAUCCUUGAAAAAUAAAUCACAUAAACAAUUAAUCUCAAUAAUAGCAUUCUUGAAAAAAAACUAAACUCGAGGUUUCUUUGUAAAAAAAAUUCUCAAAAUUUCAAUUUGAGCUCACAUAGUACACAAGAAUACAAUUACAUGAUCAUACGUCUUAAGAAAAAAAUCAACAAUCGGCUUCCCCUUUUUAUCAUCAUUUUCGGUCCUCCCAUAAAAUCUUAGGGGAUGGUUCGUCUCAUCUCAUAUCGCAUAUAUGAGCUCAAUUAUUCAUCACAUAGUCAUAUAUGUUCACAUCCAACACCUAACUCAUCUCAUAUGAGAGACCUCAUACAAACGCGCAAACUAAACUCUUUGAAAAUUCAAAAUCCUUUCUAAUCCUUUUAAAAUCCAUACUCAUAAAACCUUAACUCAUACUCUAUCACAUAUUCUAUCUCCUUACUCAACUCUAUAUAAACUCUCCACUCAUCUCAAAUCCUUAAGUUCAAGGAUAGGUUUCAAGAAAAUCAUGGUUCUAAGUCUGGAUUUAUCUCUCAUAUAAGGCUCGUUGUCACGACCGCACUUGCUAAGGAUAGCAAAUUCGGGGAAACCGCGACUAAGGGAGGGGAUUUAGGAGCGGGAGUAAGAAAGGGGCAUAUUCGGUUUCUUGAUGACUCGACUUGUAUAAGGAAAUCAAUCGAAAUAUCUAGAUAUCAACGAAGGCCACAAGGGGACCAUACAUAAUAUUAUCCCAAAAUGGGAUACUCAAUGGUUUUAGUACAUUAUUAAAUAAUACAUAUUGUUUGACAAAUGACAUAAUAUCUUAACAUAAUCAGUGUUCGCAGCGGAAUAACAAUAACUUGAGUAUAUGUAUGAAGACAUAUACUCCACUCUGAGGUAAUCAUCCUAGAUCGACAAAAGCUCCGCUUGCACACUACAUCCUCGAUCACAGCUCAACCUGCACAUUUAAAAAUACAUGCAGGGCUAAGUACAAAAGUACUUAGUGGACACUUGCCGAAAUUUACAUACAUGCAUAAUAUUUUAUUGUCAAGCCUUUCAACAGUAGUAAGAUACGAGGGUUUCCUUAAAGACUCGUAUUACUAACAUAUAUCAUUCUUUCAUCAAUAACCCGCGCAGGUAUUUUAUAUCAUUAAUCACCAUAUCAGUAACUCGUGCCGAGAGGGAGGCCUCCCUCUACGGACACUAUGAUCGGCCAACCCGCUAGAUGACUCACGAUCACAAGGUGUACACUAAUUCCGAAGGAAUUUGCGGUCCCAUCCAGAAUCCGAAUUCGAUUAACAUCAGAUAGGCAAUUAAUAAUAAAACAUAAAGCAUUUAGGCAUUGACAAUAUCAUUUAAAUUCAUAAGCAUAAAGUCUUAACAAUUCUAAUAUAUAAUUUUAGUUUAUACGUAGAAAGCCUACCUGAAUAGCAGACUCACGGUUUAGCUCUAACUCUGGUGCUUGACCUUUAAUUCGAGAAAAUAAAAUAAGAUUCUAAUUCUCGAAAAAUCUCAAUAAAUGAGGAUGCGUGAAAUGAUUAUGCAUGACUCAUAUUCCUUUAAUUAAAUUAUGAGAUGCUAAUCCUAUUUAAGGAAUUAAAGCUCGUCUUAUGAGGUCGGAUUAUUAAUCUUUAAUAAUCUACUCAUCUUAAAAUAAUCUAAUUCACUUACUAAUUAAUAAUUAGUAAGUCUUAAAAUCUUCUCUAAUUAAACUUAAUAGAAUAAUUAUGAAGUCCCAAUUAAAAUAAAUAAUCAAGGCCCAAAAGGAAUUUAAUUCGAGCUAAAAUGAACACAUUCGAAGCCCAGUGCAUUAAUAAUAUUAGGCCCAACAUCAAUUAAAUUCUAGAGCCCAACAAAUGAGGCCCAAGAUAAUAAAUUCAUGAAGCCCAAUAAGUGAGCCCAUCAUCACCCUAAAAAAAAUAAUUAGUAAAUUUAAAUAUUAAUCACUAAUUAAAAUAAUUAGGAUUAAUGAAGAGGCCUAAAAUAAUAAUUCUUAUUGGGUUAAAUAAAUAAAUUUCAUUGGACUUAAUCAAUUAAAACGUAGGAGCCCAAGUAAUAUAAAUUCGAGACCCAUUAUUAAUAAAUAAUAGGAGUCCAAGUAAUAAUUAAUGUGGACUGGAAAGAAUUAAUCUUAGUCCAAUAGACACUUUAAUCGGCCCAAAUGACGAAUUAACAGCUGGGCUGAACUAAACAAAUCUGAAACAGGCCCAAUAGAAUUAAAUAAAUUCCAGCCCAAGAACAUUAAAUAAAUUCGGCCCAGAUAGAAAUAAAAAGAUGGCCCAAUGAAUUAAUCCCCGGCCCAACAAAUAAAAUGAACUAGGCCCAAUAAAAGAGUCCAAAAAUUUCGGCCCAAACCCGGCUCCCUUUUCUUUCAAAAUCAAUCACUAACACACUCUUUUUUAAUUAAUCAACAAAUCCCCCUUUUUUUUAAAGUUGUCGAUUCUUUCUCUAUCUUUUUAUUAAAAACAUAACACUUUUCCUAUCUCUCACAAAUCACUAUCAUCGGUUCUUCCCCUUUUUUUUUAAAAGCAGAACCCACCAUCUCUUAAUUAAAGCAAAACAUUCUUCUCUCUUAAUUCAAAACUCACGCUGCAUCUCUCCCCUUUUUUUUUAUUAUUAAAAGCAUACACUCCCUCUCUCUCUAAUUAUUAAGAAAGAAACGCUGCAACAUCUCUUCUCCUUCUCACAACAGUGCUCGGCUCUCUCUCUCAAACAAGAAAAGAACGCUGCUCCCAUCUCUCUCUCUCUCUCUCGAAUCUCCUCCGGCCGCCUCCUCACGAGCUCCACCGCGGACGGUUCCAGCGAACAUCGUCGACUGGGAGUCAUCGCCGACGUCUGGAGCGGCUGCUGCUUCUCCCGUUGCCGCAGACUGCUGCUGUUCGCCGGAGUCGCGGGCUGCUGUUGCAGAGCUCCGACAGCCACCACCGUCGUCGGCUGCCGCUGCUUCUCUCUGCUCUGGGCCGCGACCAGCGGCACUUGGCCUUUGGCCGCGCCGUCCCGCUCAGCCGCCUGGAACUGCUGCUGCUCGCCCGGAGUCCGCCGACUGCUGCUGUUCGUCGAGUCGGCGAGAGAUGGCAGAACAGCUGCUGCCGCCGACAGAGGCCAUCUCGCCGUUUGGUGCCGCCGCCAUCGGCUGCCGCUGCCUCGCCCAAAGCCGACUCCCGGAGUUGCCGUUCGUCGUAGCGAAGGUCUCGGCAGUUCGUCAUUGCCUCCCUCUCGUUUUAUCUCUCUUCGAUAGGUUUGUAGAUUUGAAAAAGUUUUACAUAAAACUCAAGUUUGUGUAAAGAUUUGAUUAUGGAAUCAAAACUUGAUUUUUCUGUACUCUAGUUUAGUUAUAUAGAGGUUCUAUUUCUGAUUUCUUGCAAAGGUUUGAUGCGUAUGCAAAUACUGUAAACUGUAAAAUGAUAUAUUGCUUGCUAAUGAAUUCUAUUGAACAUAAACACUUGUAUAAGGAAUGAAGUUGAAGAACUUUGAGAUUAAUAUAUACCUUGUUCUGCUGAAGUUUGGAACUCAAAACGAACACUCUGUAUUUUAGAAUUAGCAAUUGAAGGUUGUGGUUUUAAAACUGAUUCGUUUGAGUUAAUUUAUAGGCGAAUUGCUGCGACAAUGGAAUUUAUGAAUGUGGAAUUUUUGUGAGUGAAAAUCGGCUGCGCCUGAACAAAUAAGAUUUGCUGCGGCUGUAUCUGUAUCUUUGAAAAAAAAUGAGAUUUGCUGUUGAAAACUGAGAUUUGCUUUGUUGAAUUACUUGAGAUUUUGCUGCUGACAAUUUUGUUUGACUACGUAAGAGUGAAAUAAAAACUAAGCACGGGUGAGAAUAGAGUGGCUGAGGGAGCAUGGCGUGCUAGAUUUAAUACACGGAAUAAUAUCUAAAUUAAUAUCGUAGAUUUAAUUCUUCACAAGCCGGAAUAAAUUCACGACUCAAGAAAUAAAAAAAAUAGAAAAUUAAUUCUAUUGUGAUUAAUAAUUAACAUGACUUUACUAAGUCAGUUAUGAAUCUGAAAUAAAUAAUUAUUGGCUUACUCAAUAAUUCUCAUCGCGGUUUUAUUUACGCGAAGCUACUGACUUGGUAAUAAAAUAAUAAUCCUGCUUAAUUGAAUAUAAUCCAGUGUCAUAAGCUGAAUUUAAAUCAUAAAUAAUUACUGGGUUUGAUUUACUGAAAGAUGAAAUAAUAAUUAUCGUAUUCCUGGAUUUAAAUAUAAUAAAAGAGCGGGUUGUUACACUCGUCUAAUCUCAUUCAAACACAUAGGCCACUAUCACAUAAAGCACAUAAGAAUCACAAUCAAACAUCAUUAAAACAUGCUCUAUUUUUACACUGAUUCAACUUUAAAAUUUAAUCUGUUCUGACCCCGACAUCUCCUGGACUCGAUACUCAUACCGAAAGAAAGAUCUUCAAGUCUAGUUUCUUAUAAAAAAAAGUAGAGUUGAAAACUCCAAGUGGUUUGAGAGAUAUGACGUUUUUACCACGAUCUACCAUAUUCGGCAGUUUUGAGCAAUCGAAAACUUGGAUUUUUGAAAAAUAGUAAACGUUGUCAAACUGGACUCAACUUUGGUGGAUAUCUAUCUAACACAAUAAAGUUAAUACCAUAAAAAUUUGGAAAGCUAUAUCACAAAGGAAGCUACUGAAAUGAAUGACUCUUUCCCCUGUUCUCUGAAAUUCUCGGUAGUAAUCAGUUUGGUUUUUCAUUUUAAAGAAAUAUCAAACGAAGUUGGAAUGGCUUGAAAUUUUGCCAGGGUACUCAAGACUCAUGUAGGGACUUGCUAUAAAAUUUCAAAGUUAUUAGACAUCGACAAACCGUCGAUCACAAUAGGUAGUAGGCCUACGAAAUUCACCAAAAUCUCAUCUCAAAUUCUUAAAUGCUCAAGAUUAUAUACUCACAUAUAACAUCAUACAAUCUAGAUCUAUGAAAAUAAGAAUCACUUACCCAAGAUUAAACAAAGAUCAAAAGUUUUCCUUUCUCACUCUUCAAACCAAACCCACGGUCCUCUUGAAAUCUUCAAGAAUUGAAAGGUGUUUAAUGUUGAUUUGGUGGAG
Molecule: long non-coding RNA, 6158 nt
Filed under: Salvia miltiorrhiza (redroot sage)
Lineage: Eukaryota; Viridiplantae; Streptophyta; Magnoliopsida; Lamiales; Lamiaceae
Description: long non-coding RNA (SMIL_LNC008096)
Source: RNAcentral